RNA transcript from Nicotiana tabacum (common tobacco), 1354 nucleotides. RefSeq lists it as uncharacterized. The record is from RefSeq and is a predicted model, not a curated record. NCBI's taxonomy places the organism in Eukaryota, Viridiplantae, Streptophyta, Magnoliopsida, Solanales, Solanaceae.
UAAUUAGUUUUCCCGAUUUUUUAGCCCACUCACUAAUAAACAUUCUAGCUAGGGUUUUUGUUAUCAGUUUUACUUGAAAGAGCUCCUCUCCUCCUGUUGUGUCCUCUUUGUUGCUUCAUGUUGCGGCUAACCGAAGAAGAACCGGAUCAGUUGAAACAGAGACGUUUUGGGAUUCAAAUCUAAUGUCUCUGAGCCGAGGGUCUCCCAGAAAUAGCCUCUCUACCCCCUCUGGGGUAGGGGUAAGGUCUAGGUACACUCUACCCUCCCCAAACCCUACUGGUGAGAUUGGCAGGCAAUCGAAAUUCUAUUUUAAAUAUCGUCGUAGUAGGCUCUAUGAUCAUUUCAAGAAAUAUGCUACAAAGGAGGAACGCUUGCAGAACAUGCCAACCGAUGUUAAUGAAGCUGAAUGGAAGUUCUUGGUUGAAUAUUUUGAUUCUGAUACUUUUAAGAGAAUGAGUGAGCCAAAUAGAACCAAUAAGGCAAAACAAGAAAUUAAUCAUAUUUGCGGCAGAAAAUCCUUCCAGGCAGUAUCUUUUGAACAGAGAAAUACAAGCACCGGAAAAGAGCCAAACUUGCAGAAACUUUGGGAAUUGACUCACAUGAAGAACGGACAUUGGAUUAAUGAUGCCUCUGCUGAAUUAAAUGAUAAGGUGAAAGAAUAUGUUGUUGAACAAAUUCAAGAAAUUGAAGAGGAUAUUGAUUUGGAAGCAUUAAUGAUGCAUUUGUGAAAGUUGUUGGAGAAAUGUCAAGUUAUUGUUGUGGUCAAGGAUUGGGAGUUAAGUCAACAAGUAGGAGAUCCAUGAAUGGAAUUCAAGAGAAACUGCAAGCACAACAAAAAAAGGCAGAAGAAGAAUGUCGUAAAAGAGCAAGUGUAGAAAGCCAGUUAAAAGAAGUAAAUAUUCAGCUUGAGGAGGAGCGAAAAAAUCGAGAAGCCAUGGUGCGAGACCAAAAACUAAUGAAACAGAGCAUGAUGGCAAUAGCAUCCCAUAUUCUAAGUAAUGAGAAUGGAGUUUCUGCUGCAUUUCUCAACAUUAUUUCUAAUUUAAGUGGUUCAGAUGAGGCAAGUUGCUCAAGACUUAUGGAUGACAUCACGGAUGAGCAUGAGUAAACCAACAUAGCUGGCAAUAUGGUUCAUCAAUGCACAAGUUACUAGAAGAAAAUUUGCUUUUAGGGUUGUUAUUAGAAUAGAAAUUAUGACUCUGGAGAUGUUCUUGUUCUUUUUUGUAAGUAAAAACAUAUGUUUUAGUGGUACUUAUUUUUUGAAGGUAUGUAAAUACUUAGUGCUUCAGUUGUAUUGCCUUUUGUAAAUAUAUAUCAUAUAUCAAUUUAUAUAUAUAUGUGAUGUUUUAAAAGA